RNAcentral lists this ribosomal RNA (441 nucleotides) under Triticum aestivum (bread wheat). RNAcentral's name for it is "partial small subunit ribosomal RNA". The record is from RNAcentral. Lineage: Eukaryota; Viridiplantae; Streptophyta; Magnoliopsida; Poales; Poaceae.
AUGUAUAAUAGGAAAGUGGAUAUUAACUUUGAGUUGCGUGAAAUUCUGGUCAAUGAAGAGAUAUUCUGGCUCCAACAAUCCCAUGAGCGAUGGCUGCUCAAAGGGGAUUUGAAUACAAAUUAUUUUCAUAAGAUUGCGAACGGGCGCAAGAGGAAAAACACCAUCCACUCUCUUAAAAGUGGUGAUGUGGAGAUAGAGGGCACAGAUGACUUAAUUUCACAUGCUACAGAAUUCUAUAAGAACCCGUUCGGCCCACCAGGCAACCUAUUUCAUAUGGAUCCUGAGUCGUGGGGGGAAGCGGAGAAACUAACUAAAGAGGAUAACGAUGACCUGACUAGGGUCUUCUCGGAGGAGGAGGUAAAAGAUGCUUUGUUUGCGAUGGAUGCUAAUAGAGCACCUGGCCCUGAUAACAUCCCUGCAGAAUUUUACCAACACUGCUGA